Molecule: ribosomal RNA, 501 nt
Filed under: uncultured bacterium
Lineage: Bacteria
Description: partial 16S ribosomal RNA
Rfam family: Bacterial small subunit ribosomal RNA
Source: RNAcentral
AUUGAACGCUGGCGGAAUGCUUUACACAUGCAAGUCGAACGAUGAACCUUAGCUUGCUAAGGGGAUUAGUGGCGAACGGGUGAGUAAUAUAUCGGAACGUACCUUGUAAUGGGGGGAUAACUAGUCGAAAGAUUAGCUAAUACCGCAUACGCCCUGAGGGGGAAAGUAGGGGAUCUUCGGACCUUACGUUAUAAGAGCGGCCGAUAUCUGAUUAGCUAGUUGGUGGGGUAAUGGCCUACCAAGGCGACGAUCAGUAGCUGGUCUGAGAGGACGACCAGCCAAACUGGAACUGAGACACGGUCAAGACUCCUACGUGAGGCAGCAGUGGGGAAUUUUGGACAAUGGGCGCAAGCCUGAUCCAGCCAUUCCGCGUGAGUGAAGGAGGCCUUCGGGUUGUAAAGCUCUUUCGCAAGGGAAGAAAACUUACAUUCUAAUAAAGUGUGAGGCUGACGGUACCUUGAUAAGAAGCACCGGCUAACUACGUGCCAGCAGCCGCAGUAA